RNAcentral lists this long non-coding RNA (245 nucleotides) under Gossypium barbadense (sea-island cotton). RNAcentral's name for it is "long non-coding RNA (GBAR_LNC005490)". The record is from RNAcentral. Lineage: Eukaryota; Viridiplantae; Streptophyta; Magnoliopsida; Malvales; Malvaceae.
UAGGGUGCACAUGCUCGUGUGGUCCAAGGGACACUCCCGUGUGACCCUAGCACACGCAUGUCCUGGAGGACGUGUUCGACCCCGUGUAACUCUCUGACUUGUGCACACGGUCGUGCCACAUGCCCGUGUGCUAGGUCGUGUGGUUAAUUAAUUCAAUUCGAAAUUAGGUACAGGUUUCACAUAGCCAAGAAACACACCCGUGUUCUAGGCCGUACAGCACACACUGCUGAGACACUACCUGUGUG